This 253-nucleotide ribosomal RNA is filed under the name uncultured bacterium. RNAcentral describes it as "partial 16S ribosomal RNA". It matches the Rfam family "Bacterial small subunit ribosomal RNA", at positions 524 to 776 of the family's 1533-position model. The record is from RNAcentral.
AACGUAGGUACCGAGCGUUAUCCGGAUUUACUGGGCGUAAAGCGCGUUCAGGCGGUUUGGCAAGUCGGGCAUGAAAUCUCCCGGCUCAACCGGGAGAGGUUGUCCGAUACUUCCAGACUUGAGGUCAGUAGAGGGUGGUGGAAUUCCGGGUGUAGUGGUGAAAUGCGUAGAUAUCAGGAGGAACACCAAUAGCGAAGGCAGCUCGCUGGGACGUUACUGACACUGAGGCGCGAAAGCGUGGGGAGCGAACAGG